UUCUGAAGUUCUUCCAUGUU
This 20-nucleotide small nuclear RNA is filed under the name Arabidopsis thaliana (thale cress). Its description in RNAcentral is "snRNA_06733". Lineage: Eukaryota; Viridiplantae; Streptophyta; Magnoliopsida; Brassicales; Brassicaceae. The record is from RNAcentral.